AUUUAAGAUAACAUUUGUUACUGGAAAUGACCAAGCAUCAGAAGGCCUGGUUGCAUAAGUUAAUUUAGCCAAACAUUGGACUACUGUGUAGUUAUGAUAAAGAUGAAGUAAAUGUACGUAUACAGAUACAGAAAGAGCUGUAAAAUGUAUUAUUAGAUGAAAAAAGAUGUAACAUGUACACUGUAAUCCCAUUUUAAAAAAUAAAAUUAAGAGAUGUAUAUGUGCUAUUAUAUGCAUCAAUGUUUUUCUAGAAGGAUACACAAGCAUAUUAACAUGUUUUUCUCUUUUUCUUGUUUGAAAUUUUAAUAUACAUCUAAUACUUUCAUUAAAAUACAGAAACAGAGUUAUAUUUGUAUGUAACAAAAGAUUGGGAGAUCUUUUAAAUUUCAGAUCUAUAUUUUGUCCUUGGAAACAUUAGAAAGGGCAACAAGAUUCUAUUUUUAUUAGACUUAGGAAACAGUUAUUUAACACAAGAUUACUUUUUCCUAGGAUUUCCAUUUAAACAGGGUUAAUUUGGAAGAAUCUUCAGGAGUGGAAAACUCUCCAGCUGGUGCUAGACCAAAGAGAAAAAACAAGAAGUCUUAUGAUUUAACUCCGGUUGAUAAAUUUUGGCAAAAACAUAAAGGAAGUCCAUUCCCAGAAGUUGCAGAAUCAGUUCAGCAAGAACUAGAAUCUUACAGAGCACAGGAAGAUGAGGUCAAACGACUUAAAAGCAUUAUGGGACUAGAAGGGGAAGAUGAAGGAGCCAUAAGUAUGCUUUCUGACAAUACCGCUAAGCUAACAUCAGCUGU
This 791-nucleotide small RNA is filed under the name Pongo abelii (Sumatran orangutan). RNAcentral's name for it is "retained intron". The record is from RNAcentral. Lineage: Eukaryota; Metazoa; Chordata; Mammalia; Primates; Hominidae.